CCUUGGGGUUUUUCUUCUCGCUGGGGCAAUCCAAGAACUGGUCCCAACGAUAACAGUCGGAUGGAGGUCGACGAUCGGGAGGACUUCCAUCAGCUGAAGGAUAUGACGGUCCCACCGUAAAGAAAACUUAUGACCGAACAGGCUCUCUAUGAUGCUGGUCUUAGUUCGAUCACCAACUUAGGUAUAGUAUAGUCGGUCACUUCCAACUUUAUUCUUCUUUUGUUUGUUUCUGGAGUGUGUUG
This 242-nucleotide long non-coding RNA is filed under the name Elaeis guineensis (African oil palm). RNAcentral's name for it is "long non-coding RNA (EGUI_LNC068871)". The record is from RNAcentral. Lineage: Eukaryota; Viridiplantae; Streptophyta; Magnoliopsida; Arecales; Arecaceae.